AGAAUCAACGCUGGCGGCGUGCCUAACACAUGCAAGUCGAACGAGAAAGUGGAGCAAUCCAUGAGUAAAGUGGCGACCGGGUGAGUAACACGUGACUAACCUACCUUCGAGUGGGGAUAACAUCGGGAAACCGAUGCUAAUACCGCAUAACAUCGCAAGAUCAAAGCAGCAAUGCGCUGGAAGAGGGGGUCGCGGCUGAUUAGCUAGUUGGCGGGUAACGCCCACCAAGGCGAAGAUCGGUA
RNAcentral lists this ribosomal RNA (242 nucleotides) under uncultured bacterium. Its description in RNAcentral is "partial small subunit ribosomal RNA". It matches the Rfam family "Bacterial small subunit ribosomal RNA", at positions 26 to 285 of the family's 1533-position model. The record is from RNAcentral.